GGGUGAUUAGCUCAGCGGUAGAGCACUGCAUUCACACUGCAGGGGUCACAUGUUCGAUCCAUGUAUUACCCACCA
This 75-nucleotide transfer RNA is filed under the name Malikia spinosa. Its description in RNAcentral is "tRNA-Val". It matches the Rfam family "tRNA". Rfam says of the family: Transfer RNA (tRNA) molecules are approximately 80 nucleotides in length. Lineage: Bacteria; Pseudomonadati; Pseudomonadota; Betaproteobacteria; Burkholderiales; Comamonadaceae. RNAcentral also lists the same sequence under 5 other names. The record is from RNAcentral.